This 301-nucleotide ribosomal RNA is filed under the name uncultured bacterium. RNAcentral describes it as "partial 16S ribosomal RNA". It matches the Rfam family "Bacterial small subunit ribosomal RNA", at positions 509 to 807 of the family's 1533-position model. The record is from RNAcentral.
CAGUCGCCGCGGGAAUACGUAGGUGGCAAGCGUUGUCCGGAAUUACUGGGCGUAAAGGGCUCGCAGGCGGUUUCUUAAGUCUGAUGUGAAAGCCCCCGGCUCAACCGGGGAGGGUCAUUGGAAACUGGGAAACUUGAGUGCAGAAGAGGAGAGUGGAAUUCCACGUGUAGCGGUGAAAUGCGUAGAGAUGUGGAGGAACACCAGCGGCGAAGGCGACUCUCUGGUCUGUAACUGACGCUGAGGAGCGAAAGCGUGGGGAGCGAACAGGAUUAGAGACCCCUGUAGUCCCUGUCUCUUAUAC